GGCGACCGGCGCACGGGUGCGUAACGCGUAUGUAACCUACCUAUAACAGGGGCAUAACACUGAGAAAUUGGUACUAAUUCCCCAUAAUAUUCGGAGAGGCAUCUCUCCGGGUUGAAAACUCCGGUGGUUAUAGAUGGACAUGCGUUGUAUUAGCUAGUUGGUGAGGUAACGGCUCACCAAGGCAACGAUACAUAGGGGGACUGAGAGGUUAACCCCCCACACUGGAACUGAGACACGGUCCAAACUCCUACGGGAGGCAGCAUG
This 264-nucleotide ribosomal RNA is filed under the name uncultured bacterium. RNAcentral's name for it is "partial 16S ribosomal RNA". It matches the Rfam family "Bacterial small subunit ribosomal RNA", at positions 90 to 353 of the family's 1533-position model. The record is from RNAcentral.